Molecule: long non-coding RNA, 515 nt
Organism: Gossypium arboreum
Lineage: Eukaryota; Viridiplantae; Streptophyta; Magnoliopsida; Malvales; Malvaceae
Exons: 2
Source: RefSeq, a predicted model, not a curated record
GGUUAAUUAGGAAAAUACCCCCCAAUCCUCAAGCAUAUAAAACCCUCUUUAACAGAUCAAUCAACCCUUGCCCUUUUUGAUAUUAACCCUAGCCGCUUUCAUCCAUUCAAACCCAAAGAAGACAAACCCAAGCCGCCAUGUAGCCACCGCAAACGAUGGCCGACGGAAGGUGACAGAUGAGUGUCAGGCGCAUGGAAGGCCGGUGGUUGGUGCCCCGAACGGUGGUGGUGGCGCGCGUGAUGGCCAAGGCUAAGGGGAGUGGCGGCUGAAAACUUGGUGACUAGGGUUUUUUGGCUGUUGAAAAUGUUUAAUUUGUUGGGCUAGGUGGGCUUUAGGUUUUUUAUUGUUUGGGUCAUUUGAUGUGGAAGUUGAGCCUGCUGUUUGGGUUUUGUAAUUGUUUUAUUUGGUUUUGGGCCGGGCAUAAUUUGGGCUAUACAACAAUCUUGAUGACAACCAAUCAAGCCUUGUUUUUUUUUUUUAUGGUAAUUUCUUUUUUUCUGUUCUUUUUUCUCUAA